This 76-nucleotide transfer RNA is filed under the name Cordylochernes scorpioides. RNAcentral's name for it is "tRNA-Thr". The record is from RNAcentral. Lineage: Eukaryota; Metazoa; Arthropoda; Arachnida; Pseudoscorpiones; Chernetidae.
UGUCCAGGGAUGGGAAACGAACCCACAGUGUUCCGCUUACCGAGCAGAUGCCAUGUCCACUAGGCUACCCUCAUAC